UAUACAUGCAAGUCGAACGCUUUUUCUUUCACCGGAGCUUGCUCCACCGAAAGAAAAAGAGUGGCGAACGGGUGAGUAACACGUGGGUAACCUGCCCAUCAGAAGGGGAUAACACUUGGAAACAGGUGCUAAUACCGUAUAACACUAUUUUCCGCAUGGAAGAAAGUUGAAAGGCGCUUUUGCGUCACUGAUGGAUGGACCCGCGGUGCAUUAGCUAGUUGGUGAGGUAACGGCUCACCAAGGCAACGAUGCAUAGCCGACCUGAGAGGGUGAUCGGCCACACUGGGACUGAGACACGGCCCAGACUCCUACGGGAGGCAGCAGUAGGGAAUCUUCGGCAAUGGACGAAAGUCUGACCGAGCAACGCCGCGUGAGUGAAGAAGGUUUUCGGAUCGUAAAACUCUGUUGUUAGAGAAGAACAAGGAUGAGAGUAGAACGUUCAUCCCUUGACGGUAUCUAACCAGAAAGCCACGGCUAACUACGUGCCAGCAGCCGCGGUAAUACGUAGGUGGCAAGCGUUGUCCGGAUUUAUUGGGCGUAAAGCGAGCGCAGGCGGUUUCUUAAGUCUGAUGUGAAAGCCCCCGGCUCAACCGGGGAGGGUCAUUGGAAACUGGGAGACUUGAGUGCAGAAGAGGAGAGUGGAAUUCCAUGUGUAGCGGUGAAAUGCGUAGAUAUAUGGAGGAACACCAGUGGCGAAGGCGGCUCUCUGGUCUGUAACUGACGCUGAGGCUCGAAAGCGUGGGGAGCGAACAGGAUUAGAUACCCUGGUAGUCCACGCCGUAAACGAUGAGUGCUAAGUGUUGGAGGGUUUCCGCCCUUCAGUGCUGCAGCAAACGCAUUAAGCACUCCGCCUGGGGAGUACGACCGCAAGGUUGAAACUCAAAGGAAU
Molecule: ribosomal RNA, 889 nt
Filed under: uncultured Enterococcus sp.
Lineage: Bacteria; Bacillati; Bacillota; Bacilli; Lactobacillales; Enterococcaceae
Description: bacterial SSU rRNA
Rfam family: Bacterial small subunit ribosomal RNA
Source: RNAcentral